This 451-nucleotide ribosomal RNA is filed under the name uncultured bacterium. Its description in RNAcentral is "partial 16S ribosomal RNA". It matches the Rfam family "Bacterial small subunit ribosomal RNA", at positions 354 to 796 of the family's 1533-position model. The record is from RNAcentral.
GUGGGGAAUAUUGGACAAUGGGGGGAACCCUGAUCCAGCCAUGCCGCGUGUGUGAAGAAGGCCUUUUGGUUGUAAAGCACUUUAAGCGAGGAGGAGGCUACCGAGAUUAAUACUCUUGGAUAGUGGACGUUACUCGCAGAAUAAGCACAGGCUAACUCUGUGCCAGCAGCCGCGGUAAUACAGAGGGUGCAAGCGUUAAUCGGAUUUACUGGGCGUAAAGCGCGCGUAGGUGGCCAAUUAAGUCAAAUGUGAAAUCCCCGAGCUUAACUUGGGAAUUGCAUUCGAUACUGGUUGGCUAGAGUAUGGGAGAGGAUGGUAGAAUUCCAGGUGUAGCGGUGAAAUGCGUAGAGAUCUGGAGGAAUACCGAUGGCGAAGGCAGCCAUCUGGCCUAAUACUGACACUGAGGUGCGAAAGCAUGGGGAGCAAACAGGAUUAGAAACCCCAGUAGUCC